RNAcentral lists this ribosomal RNA (2802 nucleotides) under Escherichia coli. Its description in RNAcentral is "partial 23S ribosomal RNA". It matches the Rfam family "Bacterial large subunit ribosomal RNA". The record is from RNAcentral. Lineage: Bacteria; Pseudomonadati; Pseudomonadota; Gammaproteobacteria; Enterobacterales; Enterobacteriaceae.
GGGUUGUGAGGUUAAGCGACUAAGCGUACACGGUGGAUGCCCUGGCAGUCAGAGGCGAUGAAGGACGUGCUAAUCUGCGAUAAGCGUCGGUAAGGUGAUAUGAACCGUUAUAACCGGCGAUUUCCGAAUGGGGAAACCCAGUGUGUUUCGACACACUAUCAUUAACUGAAUCCAUAGGUUAAUGAGGCGAACCGGGGGAACUGAAACAUCUAAGUACCCCGAGGAAAAGAAAUCAACCGAGAUUCCCCCAGUAGCGGCGAGCGAACGGGGAGCAGCCCAGAGCCUGAAUCAGUGUGUGUGUUAGUGGAAGCGUCUGGAAAGGCGCGCGAUACAGGGUGACAGCCCCGUACACAAAAAUGCACAUGCUGUGAGCUCGAUGAGUAGGGCGGGACACGUGGUAUCCUGUCUGAAUAUGGGGGGACCAUCCUCCAAGGCUAAAUACUCCUGACUGACCGAUAGUGAACCAGUACCGUGAGGGAAAGGCGAAAAGAACCCCGGCGAGGGGAGUGAAAAAGAACCUGAAACCGUGUACGUACAAGCAGUGGGAGCACGCUUAGGCGUGUGACUGCGUACCUUUUGUAUAAUGGGUCAGCGACUUAUAUUCUGUAGCAAGGUUAACCGAAUAGGGGAGCCGAAGGGAAACCGAGUCUUAACUGGGCGUUAAGUUGCAGGGUAUAGACCCGAAACCCGGUGAUCUAGCCAUGGGCAGGUUGAAGGUUGGGUAACACUAACUGGAGGACCGAACCGACUAAUGUUGAAAAAUUAGCGGAUGACUUGUGGCUGGGGGUGAAAGGCCAAUCAAACCGGGAGAUAGCUGGUUCUCCCCGAAAGCUAUUUAGGUAGCGCCUCGUGAAUUCAUCUCCGGGGGUAGAGCACUGUUUCGGCAAGGGGGUCAUCCCGACUUACCAACCCGAUGCAAACUGCGAAUACCGGAGAAUGUUAUCACGGGAGACACACGGCGGGUGCUAACGUCCGUCGUGAAGAGGGAAACAACCCAGACCGCCAGCUAAGGUCCCAAAGUCAUGGUUAAGUGGGAAACGAUGUGGGAAGGCCCAGACAGCCAGGAUGUUGGCUUAGAAGCAGCCAUCAUUUAAAGAAAGCGUAAUAGCUCACUGGUCGAGUCGGCCUGCGCGGAAGAUGUAACGGGGCUAAACCAUGCACCGAAGCUGCGGCAGCGACGCUUAUGCGUUGUUGGGUAGGGGAGCGUUCUGUAAGCCUGCGAAGGUGUGCUGUGAGGCAUGCUGGAGGUAUCAGAAGUGCGAAUGCUGACAUAAGUAACGAUAAAGCGGGUGAAAAGCCCGCUCGCCGGAAGACCAAGGGUUCCUGUCCAACGUUAAUCGGGGCAGGGUGAGUCGACCCCUAAGGCGAGGCCGAAAGGCGUAGUCGAUGGGAAACAGGUUAAUAUUCCUGUACUUGGUGUUACUGCGAAGGGGGGACGGAGAAGGCUAUGUUGGCCGGGCGACGGUUGUCCCGGUUUAAGCGUGUAGGCUGGUUUUCCAGGCAAAUCCGGAAAAUCAAGGCUGAGGCGUGAUGACGAGGCACUACGGUGCUGAAGCAACAAAUGCCCUGCUUCCAGGAAAAGCCUCUAAGCAUCAGGUAACAUCAAAUCGUACCCCAAACCGACACAGGUGGUCAGGUAGAGAAUACCAAGGCGCUUGAGAGAACUCGGGUGAAGGAACUAGGCAAAAUGGUGCCGUAACUUCGGGAGAAGGCACGCUGAUAUGUAGGUGAAGUCCCUCGCGGAUGGAGCUGAAAUCAGUCGAAGAUACCAGCUGGCUGCAACUGUUUAUUAAAAACACAGCACUGUGCAAACACGAAAGUGGACGUAUACGGUGUGACGCCUGCCCGGUGCCGGAAGGUUAAUUGAUGGGGUCAGCGCAAGCGAAGCUCUUGAUCGAAGCCCCGGUAAACGGCGGCCGUAACUAUAACGGUCCUAAGGUAGCGAAAUUCCUUGUCGGGUAAGUUCCGACCUGCACGAAUGGCGUAAUGAUGGCCAGGCUGUCUCCACCCGAGACUCAGUGAAAUUGAACUCGCUGUGAAGAUGCAGUGUACCCGCGGCAAGACGGAAAGACCCCGUGAACCUUUACUAUAGCUUGACACUGAACAUUGAGCCUUGAUGUGUAGGAUAGGUGGGAGGCUUUGAAGUGUGGACGCCAGUCUGCAUGGAGCCGACCUUGAAAUACCACCCUUUAAUGUUUGAUGUUCUAACGUUGACCCGUAAUCCGGGUUGCGGACAGUGUCUGGUGGGUAGUUUGACUGGGGCGGUCUCCUCCUAAAGAGUAACGGAGGAGCACGAAGGUUGGCUAAUCCUGGUCGGACAUCAGGAGGUUAGUGCAAUGGCAUAAGCCAGCUUGACUGCGAGCGUGACGGCGCGAGCAGGUGCGAAAGCAGGUCAUAGUGAUCCGGUGGUUCUGAAUGGAAGGGCCAUCGCUCAACGGAUAAAAGGUACUCCGGGGAUAACAGGCUGAUACCGCCCAAGAGUUCAUAUCGACGGCGGUGUUUGGCACCUCGAUGUCGGCUCAUCACAUCCUGGGGCUGAAGUAGGUCCCAAGGGUAUGGCUGUUCGCCAUUUAAAGUGGUACGCGAGCUGGGUUUAGAACGUCGUGAGACAGUUCGGUCCCUAUCUGCCGUGGGCGCUGGAGAACUGAGGGGGGCUGCUCCUAGUACGAGAGGACCGGAGUGGACGCAUCACUGGUGUUCGGGUUGUCAUGCCAAUGGCACUGCCCGGUAGCUAAAUGCGGAAGAGAUAAGUGCUGAAAGCAUCUAAGCACGAAACUUGCCCCGAGAUGAGUUCUCCCUGAC